AACGCGAAGAACCUUACCUGGGUUUGACAUGGAUCGGGAGUGCUCAGAGAUGGGUGUGCCUCUUUUGGGGUAGGUUCACAGGUGGUGCAUGGCUGUCGUCAGCUCGUGUCGUGAGAUGUUGGGUUAAGUCCCGCAACGAGCGCAACCCUUGUUCACUGUAGCCAGCACGUUAUGGUGGGGACUCAGUGGAGACCGCCGGGGUCAACUCGGAGGAAGGUGGGGAUGACGUCAAGUCAUCAUGCCCCUUAUGUCCAGGGCUUCACGCAUGCUACAAUGGCUGGUACAGAGAGUGGCGAGCCUGUGAGGGUGAGCGAAUCUCGGAAAGCCAGUCUCAGUUCGGAUUGGGGUCUGCAACUCGACCUCAUGAAGUCGGAGUCGCUAGUAAUCGCAGA
RNAcentral lists this ribosomal RNA (392 nucleotides) under uncultured Propionibacterium sp. Its description in RNAcentral is "bacterial SSU rRNA". It matches the Rfam family "Bacterial small subunit ribosomal RNA", at positions 958 to 1348 of the family's 1533-position model. Lineage: Bacteria; Bacillati; Actinomycetota; Actinomycetes; Propionibacteriales; Propionibacteriaceae. The record is from RNAcentral.